This 30-nucleotide non-coding RNA is filed under the name Mus musculus (house mouse). Lineage: Eukaryota; Metazoa; Chordata; Mammalia; Rodentia; Muridae. The record is from RNAcentral.
UGCAUGAAGAUAGGUGACUCAAAGACAUCU